AAACCAACAGGGAUUGCCUCAGUAGCGGCGAGUGAAGCGGCAAGAGCUCAGAUUUGAAAUCGUGCUUUGCGGCACGAGUUGUAGAUUGCAGGUUGGAGUCUGUGUGGAAGGCGGUGUCCAAGUCCCUUGGAACAGGGCGCCCAGGAGGGUGAGAGCCCCGUGGGAUGCCGGCGGAAGCAGUGAGGCCCUUCUGACGAGUCGAGUUGUUUGGGAAUGAAGCUCCAAGCGGGUGGUAAAUUCCAUCUAAGGCUAAAUACUGGCGAGAGACCGAUAGCGAACAAGUACUGUGAAGGAAAGAUGAAAAGCACUUUGAAAAGAGAGUGAAACAGCACGUGAAAUUGUUGAAAGGGAAGGGUAUUGCGCCGACAUGGGGAUUGCGCACCGCUGCCUCUCGUGGGCGGCGCUCUGGGCUUUCCCUGGGCCAGCAUCGGUUCUUGCUGCAGGGAGGUACGGUUGACGUACGGUCGUCUUCGUACGGUGUUAGUAGUCGACGGCGG
Molecule: ribosomal RNA, 497 nt
Filed under: uncultured Pichia
Lineage: Eukaryota; Fungi; Ascomycota; Saccharomycetes; Saccharomycetales; Saccharomycetaceae
Description: eukaryotic LSU rRNA
Rfam family: Eukaryotic large subunit ribosomal RNA
Source: RNAcentral